UCUUUCCUUCAAUGGUUAGGAUCAGAGUA
Molecule: non-coding RNA, 29 nt
Filed under: Rattus norvegicus (Norway rat)
Lineage: Eukaryota; Metazoa; Chordata; Mammalia; Rodentia; Muridae
Source: RNAcentral